UACGGAGGGUGCAAGCGUUAUCCGGAUUCACUGGGUUUAAAGGGUGCGUAGGUGGGCAAGUAAGUCAGUGGUGAAAUCUUUGGGCUUAACCCGAAAAUUGCCAUUGAUACUAUAUAUCUUGAAUGCUGUGGAGGUAAGCGGAAUAUGUCAUGUAGCGGUGAAAUGCUUAGAGAUGACAUAGAACACCUAUUGCGAAGGCAGCUUACUACGCAGAUAUUGACGCUCAUGCACGAAAGCGUGGGGAUCAAACAGG
This 253-nucleotide ribosomal RNA is filed under the name uncultured bacterium. RNAcentral's name for it is "partial 16S ribosomal RNA". It matches the Rfam family "Bacterial small subunit ribosomal RNA", at positions 524 to 776 of the family's 1533-position model. The record is from RNAcentral.